CUCAGGAAGGCUUUCUCGGGGAGAAAGCUGGUUGGGGAACUGCUAAACGACCUAAAAGAAAAAGAGGAGACUGACUCUGACCUUUCAAAGCCCUAUCUCAUCUGGUUGAUAGUAGAAGGUACGUACGAUGAUACCAUGGACAUAAACGAGGUCGAGCAUAUCUUUAAUGAUUUCAAACUAAAGCGUACCUAAAGCCUGCCCUGGAUAUGAAAAAGGGAUUUGAGCCAGAAGAAGAUGAGGAUCUAUCACCAGAUGAGGAAAUGGAAACAACUAAGUAUUAGUUAGGUUUAGGUUCAGGAAAUGGAAAUGGUAACAGCGGCCCAAAAAUGGUAAGGUUUUCUUUGAAAAGAAAAAGGAACGCAAAAGU
Molecule: long non-coding RNA, 367 nt
Filed under: Hordeum vulgare
Lineage: Eukaryota; Viridiplantae; Streptophyta; Magnoliopsida; Poales; Poaceae
Description: long non-coding RNA (HVUL_LNC015156)
Source: RNAcentral